GGCACAGUCUGACUUGGUCUGGAUGUGGAAGCUGUUGGUGGUGCCCGUGUGCUCGUAGUCGUGGAUGGCGGCAGCGAAGAUGAUGGCCAGGACCUCAAUCUCCGUCAGAUAGUGCAGCAUGCCGGUGCGGAGCAGGAAGCAGUGGACGGUCUGGGUGACAUCGGCGGCGUGCGCCUGGUUGUGGUAGGGGUUGCGGUACUUCCC
This 204-nucleotide long non-coding RNA is filed under the name Gallus gallus (chicken). Lineage: Eukaryota; Metazoa; Chordata; Aves; Galliformes; Phasianidae. The record is from RNAcentral.